AGAGAGAGAGAGAGAGAGAGAGAGAGAGAGAGAGAGAGAGAGAGAGAGAGAGAGAGAGAGAGAGAGAGAGAGAGAGAGAGAGAGUAAAUAUAUGUACCAAAAUCUAAUUGAAUACAGACCCAGUUUAUGAAUUAUGAAGAAGAGAAUAAGGAAUUGCAUGAAUGUGUGUGUGUGUGUGUGUGUGUGUGUGUGUGUGUGUGUGUGUGUGUGUGUGUGUGUGUGUGUGUGUGUGUGUGUGUGUGUAAUUAAAUCAUACAUAUUAUACAUACACAGAACGAGGCAGUUGUUCAUGUAUACUUGAAUAUUAAAGUCACUCAUUUAUAUAGAUACACACGAUGUAAUAAAAAAAAUUAAUAGAACGUAUCUCAUAAUAAACUAACUAAUAACACAACUAAAUCAAAAUGAAUAAAACUAGAAUGAAUACCAGAAAAUCAAAAUACUUAAAAAUACAAAACUAAAUCCUAAAAUAGCAAAAAUAUCCAGCUGAAAUAUGCACAAGAUUGAGGUGGAAAGUUCAAAAAUAUAUCAAAGAGAAUUCAAACAUUUCUGAUAAUACCUAAAAUUGUUUAUGAAUAAUUUAAAGUGAAUAAUUGAAAUAAGGAACAUUGGAAGACGCCUGAAAUGACUGAAGUACUAGAGGAAACAUGCGAAAAGUACCAAGAUCUCACAAUUUGUACUUGAAAUGAGAAAAAAAAAUAAAAAUAAGUGAAAAAAAAUUUAGGAAUAUGCCUGAAAUCAAUGAAAUGCUACAAAAAAUAUAUGCAAGGAGUACCAACACAUCAAAAUUUA
This is a long non-coding RNA of Portunus trituberculatus (swimming crab), 789 nucleotides long. RefSeq lists it as uncharacterized. The transcript has 2 exons. The record is from RefSeq and is a predicted model, not a curated record. NCBI's taxonomy places the organism in Eukaryota, Metazoa, Arthropoda, Malacostraca, Decapoda, Portunidae.